This 77-nucleotide transfer RNA is filed under the name Serratia plymuthica. Its description in RNAcentral is "tRNA-Val". Lineage: Bacteria; Pseudomonadati; Pseudomonadota; Gammaproteobacteria; Enterobacterales; Yersiniaceae. The record is from RNAcentral.
CGUCAUGUGGAUGGCGACACCGUGCAGGUUGACGAUCUGCAAGCCAUCGUCGAUUGGUUGCAAACCGGCCAUGCCGA